UGAUGCUACAAACAACAUUCACUUAUACUACACACCGAAAUAAAUGUGGACAAAAUUACUCCGCUUAUUAUCUGAAGCAUUG
Prunus persica (peach) is the source of this 82-nucleotide small nucleolar RNA. It matches the Rfam family "Small nucleolar RNA R16". Rfam says of the family: snoR16 is a member of the C/D class of snoRNA which contain the C (UGAUGA) and D (CUGA) box motifs. NCBI's taxonomy places the organism in Eukaryota, Viridiplantae, Streptophyta, Magnoliopsida, Rosales, Rosaceae. The record is from Rfam.